Molecule: ribosomal RNA, 253 nt
Filed under: uncultured bacterium
Lineage: Bacteria
Description: partial 16S ribosomal RNA
Rfam family: Bacterial small subunit ribosomal RNA
Source: RNAcentral
UACAGAGGGUGCAAGCGUUAAUCGGAAUUACUGGGCGUAAAGCGUGCGUAGACGGUUACAUAAGUCGGGUGUGAAAGCCCCGGGCUCAACCUGGGAAUUGCAUUCGAGACUGCGUAGCUAGGGUGCGGAAGAGGGAAGCGGAAUUUCCGGUGUAGCGGUGAAAUGCGUAGAUAUCGGAAGGAACACCAGUGGCGAAAGCGGCUUCCUGGUCCAGCACCGACGUUCAGGCACGAAAGCGUGGGGAGCAAACAAG